GUCCUCGUAGUUCAAUUGGAUAGAACGCUGGCCUCCGAAGCCGGAACUUGUGAGUUCGAGUCUCACCGAGGGCA
RNAcentral lists this transfer RNA (74 nucleotides) under Patescibacteria group bacterium. RNAcentral describes it as "tRNA-Arg". It matches the Rfam family "tRNA". From Rfam's summary of the family: Transfer RNA (tRNA) molecules are approximately 80 nucleotides in length. The record is from RNAcentral.